CCUACGGGAGACAGCAGUGAGGAAUAUUGGUCAAUGGGCGCGAGCCUGAACCAGCCAAGUAGCGUGAAGGAUGAAGGACCUAUGGUUUGUAAACUUCUUUUAUAAGGGAAUAAAGGUAGCCACGUGUGGCUAUUUGCAUGUACUCUAUGAAUAAGCAUCGGCUAACUCCGUGCCAGCAGCCGCGGUAAUACGGAGGAUGCGAGCGUUAUCCGGAUUUAUUGGGUUUAAAGGGUGCGUAGGUGGUUUGUUAAGUCAGUGGUGAAAGUUUGCGGCUCAACCGUAAAAUUGCCGUUGAUACUGGAAGACUGGAGUGCAGUUGAGGUAGGCGGAAUUCGUGGUGUAGCGGUGAAAUGCUUAGAUAUCACGCAGAACUCCGAUUGCGAAGGCAGCUUACUAAGCUGCAACUGACAUUGAAGCUCGAAAGUGUGGGGAUCAAACAGGAUUAGAUACCCCUGUAGUC
This 460-nucleotide ribosomal RNA is filed under the name uncultured bacterium. Its description in RNAcentral is "partial 16S ribosomal RNA". It matches the Rfam family "Bacterial small subunit ribosomal RNA", at positions 338 to 795 of the family's 1533-position model. The record is from RNAcentral.